CCAGAGUAAGAAGGAUGAGAAGACGAAGCUCCAAAAUUUCCAUCACAUAUUCAAACCAGAAUGCCAGAAUCUUCACAAGAUUGUAUUGCAAGGUGAACUUCUUCAAUCAGUUGGAGGCCUUAAGAGCAAAGACAAGUUUCCCAAAGAAGGAAUUGAGCUUCACAGCUGCAACACAGAAAUUCUGCCCGAGGUUCCAACAUACCUGGCCUGCCCUGUAGAAUUUGCACUCAAGAUUGCAACACCAACUCUUAGCUGAAUUCCCAGCCUGCCAGUCUGCCCUGCAAAUUUCAA
Molecule: long non-coding RNA, 291 nt
Organism: Lontra canadensis (Northern American river otter)
Lineage: Eukaryota; Metazoa; Chordata; Mammalia; Carnivora; Mustelidae
Exons: 3
Source: RefSeq, a predicted model, not a curated record